CAUGCAUCUCACAACAGAAACAGUACUGCACUAAUGUUAUGGCUGUAAGUGCACCUGGAGUAUUCAUGCUAGACAAUAUCUUUAUUGGCUUUAACUUGGAAAAUUAAAGCAGUUUAAGAAAUGACUUAAUUGCCAGAAGAGUUGCCAUGGAGAGAAGACGGCGAUCAAACAACCAUCUAAUUUUGCAGCUAUCUAUGCAAAGAGGAUGUCUUCGCAAUCAGACUUCAUGACUUUGUAACUAGCGCUUGUGAACACACUAAAAGAGUAGCAUUUAUCUCUACCGCCAAAAGAAAGAAAGAAGAGAAAUAAAGAGAGAAAGGCUUCAUAAGUUAAUCUUUUUUAUUAUUUUGGAGGGGGGAGUAGGUUCUGAAAUUCUCAAAAUUAUCUGUCUUGGUAUUUUCUAAUCAAAAUAUUAUAUCCUGCACAUUCUUUUUAGAAAUGUUGUUUGCGAGAAUAAGGAAACCUGACUGUACCGUCCUGGAAUACAGCACAGGGAAGAUCCUUUGGCC
RNAcentral lists this long non-coding RNA (509 nucleotides) under Gallus gallus (chicken). Its description in RNAcentral is "lncRNA (ENSGALG00010014357.1)". Lineage: Eukaryota; Metazoa; Chordata; Aves; Galliformes; Phasianidae. The record is from RNAcentral.